AGUGAACGCUGGCGGUAGGCCUAACACAUGCAAGUCGAACGGCAGCACAGUAAGAGCUUGCUCUUACGGUUGGCGGGGGGCGGCGGGGUGGGGAAUACAUCGAAAUCUACUUUUUCGUGGGGAAUAAGGAAGGAAAACUAACGCUAAUACCGCAUAGGACCUACGGGUGAAAGCAGGGGAUCUUCGGACCUUGCGCGAUUGAAUGAGCCGAGGUCGGAUUAGCUAGUUGGGGGGGUAAAGGCCCACCAAGGCGACGAUCCGUAGCUGGUCUGAGAGGAUGAUCAGCCACACUGGAACUGAGACACGGUCCAGACUCCUACGGGAGGCAGCAGUGGGGAAUAUUGGACAAUGGGCGCAAGCCUGAUCCAGCCAUACCGCGUGGGUGAAGAAGGCCUUCGGGUUGUAAAGCCCUUUUGUUGGGAAAGAAAAGCAGCAGGUUAAUACCCCGCUGUUCUGACGGUACCCAAAGAAUAAGCACCGGCUAACUUCGUG
Molecule: ribosomal RNA, 492 nt
Filed under: uncultured bacterium
Lineage: Bacteria
Description: partial 16S ribosomal RNA
Rfam family: Bacterial small subunit ribosomal RNA
Source: RNAcentral